Molecule: ribosomal RNA, 253 nt
Filed under: uncultured bacterium
Lineage: Bacteria
Description: partial 16S ribosomal RNA
Rfam family: Bacterial small subunit ribosomal RNA
Source: RNAcentral
UACGUAGGGGGCUAGCGUUGUCCGGAAUCAUUGGGCGUAAAGCGCGUGUAGGCGGUCCGGUAAGUCCGCUGUGAAAGUCGAGGGCUCAACCCUCGAAUGCCGGUGGAUACUAUCGGGCUUGAGUACGGGAGAGGCGAGUGGAAUUCCUGGUGUAGCGGUGAAAUGCGCAGAUAUCAGGAGGAACACCGAUUGCGAAGGCAGCUCGCUGGAACGUUACUGACGCUGAGACGCGAAAGCGUGGGGAGCAAACAGG